CCGUCCCUCCCCUCACUGAUUCGGCUUUGGGGGCCCUGCCCUGUCCCUCACCGAGUGCGGGACUCUGGGGGUCUCUCCCCUCAGCGAGGGCGGGUUUAGGGAAGGGUCCCGUCCCUCCCCUCACGGUGCCGGGAGUGUUUGCGCGGUGCCGUCCCUCCCCUCACGGGCCGCGAUCCCGGAGCCGCGGCCAUCCCAGCACCUGGAGCUUGUUUUGUGCAAACCUGGAGUUGCUGGGAGCAGCCCUGUUGCCACCACAAAAAGGAUGGGAUUUAAAGCUGAAAUCCUUGGCUUGGAGAAGCAGGUCAGUGUGAGCUCUGCAAACGUGGUUCCCCUGACAGAGGAGAGGAUCAAGGCCAUCGCCUCCAC
This 366-nucleotide long non-coding RNA is filed under the name Zonotrichia albicollis (white-throated sparrow). RNAcentral's name for it is "lncRNA (ENSZALG00000009290.1)". Lineage: Eukaryota; Metazoa; Chordata; Aves; Passeriformes; Passerellidae. The record is from RNAcentral.